UAACAUAUUGUAAGAUAUAAUGCUCCACUAUGCGUCUAUCAUAACUCAAUCAUACUGUAGAAUAUUUAAUUCAUAGCAGUUAGAAGUUAGAAAUACAGAAGUAGCGAAUGCCGAGGCAUAUAAAAUACUAGUAGUUUUAUUUUGGAAGGUCAAGUUGAGAUACAAAUACAAUGAAUCUCUGCGCGUGUAUUAUUUUUAUUGAAUUGCAGCCCCCAUUUCCAGUCAUCAGACCAUAUGUGUUUGACUUCCUUC
RNAcentral lists this long non-coding RNA (252 nucleotides) under Salvia miltiorrhiza (redroot sage). Its description in RNAcentral is "long non-coding RNA (SMIL_LNC001914)". The record is from RNAcentral. Lineage: Eukaryota; Viridiplantae; Streptophyta; Magnoliopsida; Lamiales; Lamiaceae.